UUUAAACGAUUAAUAACUCAUAAAUAAUUAUUAAUUUUUAGCAAGAAAAGUGUAUUUUUUCAUUAAAUACUCAGCACUGCCAUAAUUCUGAAUUGAUACCUGUAGCUAAUAAUCUUAUACUUCUAACAUAUAGUACCUACCUAAUAUGUAUCUAAUUAAGAAGACAAUUUGAACAUGGUGAAUGAAUAAUUCUGCUUUAUUUUGAGAUGGACAAUACAUACAUAUUAUAACAAGAACCUAUGACUAGUAGGACUUUGAUUGAAACUGAAAAAAAAUAUGUACCUCAUCUACAAAUUAGUAUUGUAAUAAUACUUAUUGUUCAAUUGAAAAAUGUGCCUGAACUACCCUUAUGAAACCAGCUUAACCAAGAAGAGCUAAAUUAUUUUAUUAUUAUAAGUAAUAUUUCUGAAAAUGAUCUUGUAGAGAGGGAUAAAUUACAAAUUUAGUAUAGUAAUAUAUGUAGUAUGUAUAUAUUUAUUAUUUAUUUCAUAUUUAUCAUUCUACCCUAACCUAACACAAAUUAAUUUUUUUUUAACAUAAAAUUUUAUUAAAGUGUUUCAGUUAUAACAAUUAGAAAUUAAAGCUCUAUGGAAGUCAAUUUAACUUAUUUUUAAGAUUCUUGGGGGUUAGAAAUGUAACAAAAUAAAAAUAGUUAACGUAAAAAAAUUGAUAAUUUUUAUUAACUAAAUUAAUAAACAGUUAUGACCAUAAUGAAUUUUUUGUAGUUGUAUAGCAUAUCAUUUAAAUAUUUUUCUAUUACUAGAAUGUCUUCAAUAUUAGGCUUCUUAUGUUAAUUAUAGAAUAAUGAGGCAAAAUUCAUCUGUUCUAAAUUAAUCCUGUAAAACUUUGUUCAUAAUUUUGGUUUCUAUUUUCUGUUCAAGGCUGUAGUGCAAAACUAUAUAUUAUAUUAAACAUUUAUCAUUUUCCACUGAUUCCACAAUUAGUAUUUGAUUAAUGCAAACCAUUUGUUUUUAUUAUUCCCAGUUAUUCUUUAAAUAUCCUUCGGCAAUUAUUGGCAUAUCUAAAAAGAAAGCA
Sitophilus oryzae (rice weevil) is the source of this 1035-nucleotide long non-coding RNA. RefSeq lists it as uncharacterized. The record is from RefSeq and is a predicted model, not a curated record. NCBI's taxonomy places the organism in Eukaryota, Metazoa, Arthropoda, Insecta, Coleoptera, Curculionidae. The transcript is spliced from 2 exons.